UGUUCCGUGCUGUUCUGGGCUGUUCCGGUGUUCCGGAACAGAACACUAAUCCGGAACACCGGAACAGCACGGAACAGCCCGGAACACCU
Non-coding RNA from Paramuricea clavata, 89 nucleotides. Lineage: Eukaryota; Metazoa; Cnidaria; Anthozoa; Malacalcyonacea; Plexauridae. The record is from the annotation of a GenBank genome assembly.